ACGGGCGCCGAGAGGGCCACGCCGGAGCCCCAGUGUCAGCCCCAGUCCGGCCCCUGCUCCAGGAGUGACCCAGGAAGAGGCCCUCGGCAACAAGGGCACAGAGCAGCUACUGCGGCCCUCCCAAUGGCGCAUGGACUUCCGCGAGAGCCCGCCCGGCACCCGUACUCUGUCCGUCAGGAAAAUAAGCACCACCCCCGCCACGCUUCCUAGGAGGGCAGCACAAACGGUCCGUGGAGGAUUAGUGCCUGCGCUCAGAGCCCCCAGAGGAGACAGCCGCAUUACGCCUCCCACCACCCCUUCCCUCCUUCUUUGUUUCCGGGUUGGAGUUACGAAAUUGAGUUUCCCAGGUCAAAGAUUUGGAGAGAUUUUCCCCCUAUUUAAUCUGCUGUGUUUCAUCCCACUGAAUUCUCAGCCCACAAAAGAUCAUUUAAGUAGCACUUCAUUAAGAAUGAUAAAGACAUUGGGAGAAGCCAGGAUGCUCUCAACCAACAUUUCCAUCAUCUAUCAUCUGGCUUGAUAAGUAGCACUUCCAAUGUGAGGCAUCAGGGUGUUCUUCAACUUCAACGAAGAAUGAUCUCUGGGCAGGAGCCCUGGUGUAUCACAUCCAGUGCUGUCUCCUUACUAACCUUUAACAUCUGAAGACCUUCCACCAGCGCAUCUUGAUCAACUAAUAGACAUUUACCAGUGU
This 688-nucleotide long non-coding RNA is filed under the name Felis catus (domestic cat). RNAcentral's name for it is "lncRNA (ENSFCAG00000047151.1)". The record is from RNAcentral. Lineage: Eukaryota; Metazoa; Chordata; Mammalia; Carnivora; Felidae.